RNAcentral lists this ribosomal RNA (335 nucleotides) under uncultured bacterium. RNAcentral describes it as "bacterial SSU rRNA". It matches the Rfam family "Bacterial small subunit ribosomal RNA", at positions 31 to 358 of the family's 1533-position model. The record is from RNAcentral.
GAACGCUGGCGGCGUGCUUAACACAUGCAAGUCGAACGAGAUCCAUGGUGUAGCAAUACAUCGGAAGAUCUAGUGGCGAACGGGUGAGGAUCACGUGAGAAACCUGCCCCAGACUUUGGGAUAACAAGUGGAAACGCUUGCUAAUACCGAAUGACGUCGGAGAACCGCAUGGUUCACUGACGAAAGGAAUUCCGGUUUGGGAGGGUCUCGCGGCCUAUCAGCUUGUUGGUGGGGUAAUGGCCUACCGAGAAAACGACGGGUAGCUGGUCUGAGAGGAUGAUCAGCCACACUUUCUCUGAGACACGGGACGGACUCCUACUGGAUCAGUCAGUGGG